Molecule: long non-coding RNA, 392 nt
Filed under: Manihot esculenta (cassava)
Lineage: Eukaryota; Viridiplantae; Streptophyta; Magnoliopsida; Malpighiales; Euphorbiaceae
Description: long non-coding RNA (MESC_LNC004125)
Source: RNAcentral
GUGCAUAUACAUAAACAUAACAUUGAUCCCUCAGUGGGAUCUCAUCAAUGCCCCCAAAUGGGAUGACAUAACAUAUGUUGAGUUGGUUUACAUAAACAUCAUAAAAUCUCUAAGAUCAUGUAAUAAAAGGGAUAACAACCAUCUAUGGUCAAGCACACUUCUAACAUCCAUAAACAUCCUUACAUAACUAUACUGUACUUUUACAUUACAAUUUGAUCAUGUCCAUAACUAGCUAUUACAUAAGCAUGACUUCUUUACUCUAUCCGGACUCCCGCACUAUACCGUACCUGCAAGCCUGGGGGUAAAGGGAGAGGGGUGAGCUAAAAGCCCAGUGAGUAGAACUAUAAAACAUAUUAACACUAUGCUCCAAUGAAAUGCAUCAUAACACAGAC